Molecule: ribosomal RNA, 1399 nt
Filed under: uncultured bacterium
Lineage: Bacteria
Description: bacterial SSU rRNA
Rfam family: Bacterial small subunit ribosomal RNA
Source: RNAcentral
AGAGUUUGAUCCUGGCUCAGGAUGAACGCUAGCGACAGGCUUAACACAUGCAAGUCGAGGGGCAGCGGGGGCGUAGCAAUAUGCCUGCCGGCGACCGGCGCACGGGUGAGUAACACGUAUGUAACCUGCCCUAUGCAGGGGGAUAACCCGGAGAAAUCCGGCCUAAUACCGCGUAACACCUUAGGGGAGCAUUCUCUUGAGGUUAAAGGAGAGAUCCGGCAUAGGAUGGACAUGCGUCGCAUUAGGUAGACGGCGGGGUAACGGCCCACCGUGCCGACGAUGCGUAGGGGUUCUGAGAGGAAGGCCCCCCACACUGGUACUGAGACACGGACCAGACUCCUACGGGAGGCAGCAGUGAGGAAUAUUGGUCAAUGGCCGAGAGGCUGAACCAGCCAAGUCGCGUGAGGGAAGAAUGUCCUAAGGAUUGUAAACCUCUUUUGUCGGGGAGCAAAAAGGCUCUGCGGAGUCGUAUUGAGAGUACCCGAAGAAAAAGCAUCGGCUAACUCCGUGCCAGCAGCCGCGGUAAUACGGAGGAUGCGAGCGUUAUCCGGAUUUAUUGGGUUUAAAGGGUGCGCAGGCGGCGUGUCAAGCAAGCGGUAAAAUAGCGGGGCUCAACCCCGUCGAGCCGUUUGAACUGGCGCGCUUGAGUUCAGGCGAGGUAGGCGGAAUUCGUGGUGUAGCGGUGAAAUGCAUAGAUAUCACGAAGAACUCCGAUUGCGAAGGCAGCUUACCAGUCUGCGACUGACGCUCAGGCACGAAAGUGUGGGUAUCGAACAGGAUUAGAUACCCUGGUAGUCCACACAGUAAACGAUGAGCGCUAGGUGUCCGGGUAGCAUGAGAAUUGGGUGUCCGAGCGAAAGCGUUAAGCGCUCCACCUGGGGAGUACGCCGGCAACGGUGAAACUCAAAGGAAUUUGACGGGGGCCCGCACAAGCGGAGGAACAUGUGGUUUAAUUCGAUGAUACGCGAGGAACCUUACCCGGGCUCAAACGACUCAGGAAUAUAUAGGAAACGAUGUAGCCAGCAAUGGUCUGAGUCGAGGUGCUGCAUGGUUGUCGUCAGCUCGUGCCGUGAGGUGUCAGCUUAAGUGCCAUAACGAGCGCAACCCCUACCGCCAGUUGCCAACGGGUAAAGCCGGGAACUCUGGCGGGACUGCCGGCGCAAGCUGCGAGGAAGGCGGGGAUGACGUCAAAUCAGCACGGCCCUUACGUCCGGGGCGACACACGUGUUACAAUGGCAGGUACAGCGGGAAGCCACCUGGUGACAGGGAGCGGAACCCGAAAGCCUGUCUCAGUUCGGAUUGGAGUCUGCAACUCGACUCCAUGAAGCUGGAUUCGCUAGUAAUCGCGCAUCAGCCAUGGCGCGGUGAAGGGGUUCCCGGGCCUUGCACACACCGCCCG